Molecule: ribosomal RNA, 164 nt
Filed under: Amomum petaloideum
Lineage: Eukaryota; Viridiplantae; Streptophyta; Magnoliopsida; Zingiberales; Zingiberaceae
Description: 5.8S ribosomal RNA
Rfam family: 5.8S ribosomal RNA
About the family: 5.8S ribosomal RNA (5.8S rRNA) is a component of the large subunit of the eukaryotic ribosome.
Source: RNAcentral
CAAAUGACUCGCGGCAAUGGAUAUCUCGGCUCUUGCAUCGAUGAAGAACGUAGUGAAAUGCGAUACUUGGUGUGAAUUGCAGAAUCUCGUGAACCAUUGAGUCUUUGAACGCAAGUUGUGCCCGAGGCCUUGUGGCCGAGGGCACGCCUGCUUGGGCGUCAUGG